UACGUAGGGUGCAAGCGUUAAUCGGAAUUACUGGGCGUAAAGCGUGCGCAGGCGGUUUGUUAAGUUAGAUGUGGAAUCCCCGGGCUUAACCUGGGAACUGCAUUUAAGACUGGCAGGCUAGAGUCUUGUAGAGGGGGGUAGAAUUCCAUGUGUAGCGGUGAAAUGCGUAGAGAUGUGGAGGAAUACCGGUGGCGAAGGCGGCCCCCUGGACAAAGACUGACGCUCAGGUGCGAAAGCGUGGGGAGCAAAC
Molecule: ribosomal RNA, 250 nt
Filed under: uncultured bacterium
Lineage: Bacteria
Description: partial 16S ribosomal RNA
Rfam family: Bacterial small subunit ribosomal RNA
Source: RNAcentral